RNAcentral lists this ribosomal RNA (124 nucleotides) under Duganella vulcania. RNAcentral describes it as "partial 16S ribosomal RNA". It matches the Rfam family "Bacterial small subunit ribosomal RNA", at positions 1414 to 1533 of the family's 1533-position model. Lineage: Bacteria; Pseudomonadati; Pseudomonadota; Betaproteobacteria; Burkholderiales; Oxalobacteraceae. RNAcentral also lists the same sequence under 4 other names. The record is from RNAcentral.
GUUUUACCAGAAGUAGGUAGCUUAACCGCAAGGAGGGCGCUUACCACGGUAGGAUUCGUGACUGGGGUGAAGUCGUAACAAGGUAGCCGUAUCGGAAGGUGCGGCUGGAUCACCUCCUUUCUAG